UGAGCAAUCUGCCCUUCUCAUCGGAAUAAGCGUUGGAAACGACGUCUAAUGCCGAAUACGACCUCCUUUCNCAUGAUCGGAGGUGGAAAGCUCCGGCGGAGAAGGAUGAGCUCGCGGCCUAUCAGCUAGUUGGUGUGGGUAAUGGCCCACCAAGGCGACGACGGGUAGCCGGCCUGAGAGGGUGACCGGCCACACUGGGACUGAGACACGGCCCAGACUCCGUACGGGAGCAG
This 233-nucleotide ribosomal RNA is filed under the name uncultured bacterium. Its description in RNAcentral is "partial 16S ribosomal RNA". It matches the Rfam family "Bacterial small subunit ribosomal RNA", at positions 118 to 347 of the family's 1533-position model. The record is from RNAcentral.